This 397-nucleotide ribosomal RNA is filed under the name uncultured bacterium. Its description in RNAcentral is "bacterial SSU rRNA". It matches the Rfam family "Bacterial small subunit ribosomal RNA", at positions 332 to 728 of the family's 1533-position model. The record is from RNAcentral.
CAACCUUAAACGGGAGGCAGCAGUGAGGAAUAUUGGUCAAUGGCCGAGAGGCUGAACCAGCCAAGUCGCGUGAAGGAAGAAGGAUUAUGGUUUGUAAACUUCUUUUAUAGGGGAAUAAGUGGAGGACGUGUCCUUUUUUGUAUGUACCCUAUGAAUAAGCAUCGGCUAACUCCGUGCCAGCAGCCGCGGUAAUACGGAGGAUGCGAGCGUUAUCCGGAUUUAUUGGGUUUAAAGGGUGCGUAGGUGGUGAUUUAAGUCAGCGGUGAAAGUUUGUGGCUCAACCAUAAAAUUGCCGUUGAAACUGGGUUACUUGAGUGUGUUUGAGGUAGGCGGAAUGCGUGGUGUAGCGGUGAAAUGCAUAGAUAUCACGCAGAACUCCGAUUGCGAAGGCAGCUUA